This 468-nucleotide ribosomal RNA is filed under the name uncultured bacterium. RNAcentral's name for it is "partial 16S ribosomal RNA". It matches the Rfam family "Bacterial small subunit ribosomal RNA", at positions 28 to 507 of the family's 1533-position model. The record is from RNAcentral.
GACGAACGCUGGCGGCGUGCUUAACACAUGCAAGUCGAACGGAAAGGCCCUGCUUUUGUGGGGUGCUCGAGUGGCGAACGGGUGAGUAACACGUGAGUAACCUGCCCUUGACUUUGGGAUAACUUCAGGAAACUGGGGCUAAUACCGGAUAGGAGCUCCUGCUGCAUGGUGGGGGUUGGAAAGUUUCGGCGGUUGGGGAUGGACUCGCGGCUUAUCAGCUUGUUGGUGGGGUAGUGGCUUACCAAGGCUUUGACGGGUAGCCGGCAUGAGAGGGUGACCGGCCACAUUGGGACUGAGAGACGGCCCAGACUCCUACGGGAGGCAGCAGUGGGGAAUAUUGCACAAUGGGCGGAAGCCUGAUGCAGCAGCGCCGCGUGCGGGAUGACGGCCUUCGGGUUGUAAACCGAUUUCGCCUGAGACGAAGCGUGAGUGACGGUAAUGGGUAAAGAAGCACCGGCUAACUACGUG